RNAcentral lists this ribosomal RNA (590 nucleotides) under uncultured bacterium. RNAcentral's name for it is "bacterial SSU rRNA". It matches the Rfam family "Bacterial small subunit ribosomal RNA", at positions 39 to 663 of the family's 1533-position model. The record is from RNAcentral.
GCGGCAGGCUUAACACAUGCAAGUCGAACGAGAAGCUAGAGCUUGCUCUAGUGGAAAGUGGCAGACGGGUGAGUAUCGCGUGGGAACGUACCCUUUGGUUCGGAACAACUCAGGGAAACUUGAGCUAAUACCGGAUAAGCCCUCCGGGGGAAAGAUUUAUCGCCGAAGGAUCGGCCCGCGUCAGAUUAGGUUGUUGGUGGGGUAAAAGCCUACCAAGCCGAUGAUCUGUAGCUGGUCUGAGAGGAUGAUCAGCCACACUGGGACUGAGACACGGCCCAGACUCCUACGGGAGGCAGCAGUGGGGAAUAUUGGACAAUGGGCGCAAGCCUGAUCCAGCCAUGCCGCGUGGAUGAAGAAGGCCCUAGGGUUGUAAAGUCCUUUCACCGCUGAAGAUAAUGACGGUAAGCGGAGAAGAAGCCCCGGCUAAUUUCGUGCCAGCAGCCGCGGUAAUACGAAAGGGGCUAGCGUUGUUCGGAAUUACUGGGCGUAAAGCGCACGUAGGCGGCCUUGUAAGUUGGGGGUGAAAUCCCGGAGCUCAACUCCGGAACUGCCUCCAUAACUACAAAGCUCGAGGACGCGAGAGGACAGUG